CUCCGCGGCGGGUCUCUCUGCGCAUGCUCCUUUCCCCCCCCCCCCCCCCACCCCACCCCUUUUUUCCCGGGCCCGGCCGGAUUUUAUGAAUGGGCCAUUGACGUCAUCGGAGACCCCCCACGUGGGGCCGCGCGCGUAUAAAGGGGGCGGAGCGGCGCUGUCCGCGGUGCUGAAGGGCGAAACGACGCCGCGACCACCGCGACCCCCCCCCGAAUUUCCCCUUCUCACCGCGACCCCUCCCUUCACCUCAACCCCUCCCCCCCCUCCCUUUCGCGACCCCCCCCUCCCCCCACCCUCCUCACCGGGAUCAACCCCCCCCCGCCCCCGCUUCGAGCCCCCUCCCCCACCCUUAUCAAGACCCCCCCCCUUAUUUUUGGCAUCCCCCCACACCGAGCGCCGCCCCCUCCCCAGGCUGGAAAAGGGGGGGGGGAUCCCCCGGAACAGCCGAGACCCCCCCGGAGCCGGCGCCAUGACGGCCCCACCGCGCCCAUUGCGCAGCGCCGCCCUCCUGCUCUCCAUCACCCUCCUGGUGCAGAGCCGCCCCCAACCCACCCCACAACCCCCCCGGAGCAGCCCCCAGACCCCUCCUCACCCCCUCUCCAAGCGCUCCCCACCACCACCACCACCACCAGCGGGAGGUCACCAUCAGUCGCAGGUGUUGAAGGAACUGGAAGAACUGGGGCGGCUCCGCGCCGAAGCCAAACGGGACCGGCAGCGGGACCGGGAGCGGGAGCGGGAGUCGGGCUGGGCCAGCUCGCGGCAGCUGCGGCAGCAGCAGAGUUUGGAGCACCGGCUGCUGGAGAGGCGCUACCAGGAACUGGCCGAGAGCCGGCGGCAGGCCCAGGCCGCGCGGAAAGCGGCGGCCGAAGAAGAGCGUUUGGCCGAUUUGGCGUCGGAUCUGCUGCUCCGGUACCUCCUGCGCGGCCCCGGCGCCGGCGUGGCAGAGGAUAAGCGAUCCGAGGAGGAGGAGGAGGAGGAGGAGGUGGAGGAAGGGUUCGGGGAGAACGGCAAGGAUGGGUUCGGUCUCGGUGGGGAGGUCAACGGUGAGAUCGGCGGCUACAAGGGGAAGGAGAGGUUUGGGAUCGGUGAUGAGAUCAGCGAUGAGCUCAACGAUGAACUCAACGAUGACCUUGGUGGCCACCAAACCUACAACAGCAAGGACCGGUUUGACCUUGGUAAUGACCUCAACGAUGACCUUGGUGGCCACCCAACCUACAAGACCAAGGACAGGUUCAACCUCGGUAAUGACCUUGGCAAUGACCUCAACGAUGACCUUGGUGGCCACCAGACCUACAAGACCAAGGACAGAUUCAACCUUGGCAAUGACCUCAACGAUGACCUCGGUGGCCACCAAACCUACAAGGCCAAGGACCGGUUCGGCCUCAGAAAUGACCUCAACGAUGACCUCGAUGGCUACAAGACCAAGGACAGAUUUGGCCUCAGAAAUGACCUCAACGAUGACCUCGAUGGCUACAAGGCCAAGGACAGAUUCGACCUCUCCAACGACCUCGCCGGCUACAAGGGCGGCUACGACGCCAACGACGCCAACGAGGUCUUCAAGGUCAACCGCCGCUUCAAGGUCAAACCCGGCACCAACGAAGACUUGAAGGCCAACGAUGGUGACAACUUCAAGAUCAGGGGCGGCUUCGACAACGCCGCCGACGACCUCAACGGCAACGGCGGCUUGGAGGACAACGAGAUCCUCCCGGCGCGCGGCCACCGGAUGCCGGCGCGGGGUAACCGGAUCGCGGCGGCGGAGGAGGAAGAAGAUGAAGAAGAAGAGGCGACCACCGGCGAUUCGGAGGAGGUGUCGCCGCAGGAUCCGGCCGAGGUGGACGAGCUGGACCCCGGCACCAUCGACCAGCUGAUCGAGCUGUCCAGCCGGCUGCACCUGCCGGCCGAUGACGUGGUGGACAUCAUCCACGACGUGGAGCAGAAGCGCAAGGAGGAGGCCGGGCUGGGCUUGGCCAUGGCCGGUAUGGGCGUGGUGGCCGUGGAGCCACCACCGAAACUCGGCCGACCCCCCAAAUCGCGGCUCCGACCCCCACCGGAGCCGAUCCCGGCGAGGACUUUCCUGCCGGUCCCACCCCGGCGCCCCCCGCCCCCGCUGAGGGACCGCCAGGUGGAGAAAUAUCUGGAGAGGGUUUUGGGGAGCCCCCCCCGGGGGUAG
Molecule: long non-coding RNA, 2170 nt
Organism: Taeniopygia guttata (zebra finch)
Lineage: Eukaryota; Metazoa; Chordata; Aves; Passeriformes; Estrildidae
Source: Ensembl